Molecule: long non-coding RNA, 7081 nt
Organism: Cavia porcellus (domestic guinea pig)
Lineage: Eukaryota; Metazoa; Chordata; Mammalia; Rodentia; Caviidae
Exons: 3
Source: RefSeq, a predicted model, not a curated record
GCUUGUUCUGUCAGCAUCUGUAAAACAUGUACCCUGAAAUUACAAGGACCUGCGAAGCAAAGGAAAGUUUCCUGGGGCUGGGGUGGGUCCCAGUGCUCCUUUACACACUGAGGAACUGAGAAGCGGCAGGUAUGUGGGAGCAGGGGGAGACCGCGGGCAGGGGGAGGUGCUGGGGUACAGGCUGCCCCAGCCCCAUGGGUCUGUCUGUUCUUUCUGCUCAGCCCAGCUACCCACUGCUGGGAGGUGUGCUCUGUGUCACCCUCACCCUCUCCUGCAGUCCCCGAUGGCGGACUCUGUCAUUGUUCUUGCUUUACAGUUAAGGAAACUGAGGUCACAAAGUGACACCUGUGGAAUCCUAUCUCCAGCGCAGGGUGACUGUGGAUUAGAGAACCUGAAUGCAUCAUGGUUAGAACAAAGAGACUGUGUUUUCCCAGACUGAAAUUGUAAGGCCCAGUGAGAUAGUGACUCUGACAGAUGCGACCGUCCAUUAAAGGAAGUCAGCUUGCGCUUCGUGCUCCUACCUGUCUCUCAGGACUCAGUGUUUGAGAGUUAGGAGCUCCAGUUUUGGCCUUCACCGCGGACUGUUCCUUGCCUUCCAUCCCCAACCCUCUGGCCUCCUGAAACAGACCUGCACAGGACUCGCUAGCAAGAGAGAAGACUGGAGUUCUACUUGCUGUAUAUAAAACCCCCUAUAACCUCUUAACAGGUGUUCCAAGGAUACAGAAAACUACUGUUCUGCUCUCCUUUGAGACAUCUUGCAUGUCACAGAGUUCAGAUCCAACCACAAGGGUAGAGGCGGGAAUCGCAGAAUUAAAUUGGUCCCUUUCUCCAGCUUCAGAGCCAGAAGAGAAAGUAGAUUGCCAUUUGGAUAUGGAAGCAAGUGGUUUUGAGAACACUUUUUAUUAGAUCUCAUCUGUGUCCUUUUCUGUUAUUCAUGGUCUCCUGAGGGAGAUUUUAAUGUUUCUGUAUAGAUUUAGGUCAUUUGCUUCCAAGUAAACUUUAUUUUUUAAGAUUUUGCUCCAUGAAAAGUUUUCCCUGCUAGACUUCCUAGAAACAAUAAAAUGCCAACAAAUAAGGAGGAUCAGAAAGCUGCAGUUCUCUGGAACAGGCUCUUCCAGGACAGAACAGAAACCAUAUGUCUACUUCAAGCAUAUUUGGAAAAAACUCCCAUCAUGUUUUCACUCAUCUUGAGGUUUCGUGUAGUUAAUGGGAAGAGGAAGGCUAAAAUAACUGCAUAAACCUGAAGAAGAUUCUUGACCUGCUAAGAAUUUCUCUUCAGAUGCAGGAAAUGAGAUUAUCAUAUUUUUGGAGGGGUCAGCACUAGGGGAAGGAUUAGAAGAGCGUGCAGCAAUUAAAAUAAAAGCAGAGGAAAAACACAGCACACCCCUUCUUCUGCCGUGACACCUCGUAAAAGCAAAGUCCCAACCCAAACAAUGAAAACCCAAGAGCUCUAAACAAAAUCUAGUACGCUGAAAGGUCUCAAUAAAAAUAUGUAGCACUAUAUAUUUAAAAAAAGGAGAGCAGGAUGUUUUCAAAGCUGUAGAACAUCCAGCCAAGCAGGGGGAGACUAUAAAAAUGUACAAAGGGUAAGGUCCUGUUGGAACUGUAAGUUUUCCUACAAAAAUCCUUGAAGAGAAGGUCUCUGAUUCCCUUUCCAUAGAGAAAGGCAGCUCAGAAGGUUUCAGUUUCUUAAUUUUCAAGUUCAACAGUGAGCGAGCUACAUGCUACAUCUCUCUUUUAAAGCACCCAUGGCGUGCUUGCAUAAGAAAAUCAAGUGAAGUUUGUUCUGUGCUACCUACUACAGAGCAUGGUGCUUGCUUUAUCAGGUUGGUUGUAUUUUCAUUAUUAAUCAGUACCAUUUUUGUCUCAUCCCCUGGUCUAUUUCCUAUGAAUCAGAGAAAUAAUUGCUUUUCAUUUCAUUUUCUUGUUUCUUUGAAAAGAAAGACGACAACUGGUAGUUUUGUCUAAAAUUAUGGUAAGGUGAUUCUGCGGUGAUGCUGUUGGAAAAGGGCUGUGUUCCAGGUAUCCCCUAUGAUAACAGCAAAACUUGCCAAGAGAAGCAUCUUAAGAAAGAGUGCAGUUGAAUCCUCUAGUUUUCUCCAGCCUGAGAGGGUUAUUCUUUAAAUAACAAGCUUUUCCAUGUGCUGACUCAGGUGCAAAGUUGGAUUAUGAGGUACAUGUUCUUUCUCUCAUUUUCAAAAAUCAGCUGCUUAUUAAAUUACAAUAAAAACUAAUAUAAAUAAAAGUUGGGGUGUGUAAUUUUAUCCCCAUUGUAAGUAUUUUUUCUACAAUUCCCCAGCUAGAAUUUUGGGAUGUCCCUAUCUCUACGUUAAUUUUCCUUUUCCCUUGGAUAAAAACCUCAUGGUUUCGCUGGAAUGGUACAAGAAGCCUUUCCUCUGUGUUACGAUUGAAGGUGCUAUGUGACCCAAGAGAGAGGUAUUUGCUGUCUUCUCUGAAACAAUACAGUGCCUCUCAUAGCCUAGGAAAAUUUGAAUAUAAUAAGAAUGAACACAGGGUCUCAAGACUUCUUACUACCCCAAUAUUUUCUAUUUGGGAUGGCCAUUUUUCCAGUGGAUGUAUCAUGGAGUGAACUUGGAAAGCAUUGCCAAAUUACAUUUGUGAAAAGAGAUGUCCUGUUCUGGGUAGAUGUUUAGUAAUAUUCCUGGCUUCUAGCCACUGAAUGCCAGUAGAACCUUCUAACCAUCAGGAAAGGGAUUGGCUUCAAAGUGGAAUCAUUUGUGUCAGACUCUGGCAAAACAGAACUCAGGAAAGUAUCCAAAGAGGAGCCUGGUUAUCUUCUCCAUCAAAGCUUUCAACAUGGUCUUGAUAGUCACAAAUCUGAAGUGUAUAUAUCAAUUUUAAAUAUCUUUCUAUCAAAAUUCUACAAUUUACUCAAAAGCACAAUGUUGGUCUCAAAGAGACAGUGGCCUGGAGGCUAAUGAAAGUAGGGCGAUAUUUCCAGGAGAAGAAAAAGGCAGAGCACAAGGCCACUUAGGAUUUUAAAAAUAAAAUACAUGCAUGGACAGUGUGAGAAUGAGCUUGUGAUGGCUUUAUCUAGAUGUUUGCCCAAAGCCUCAUGCAGUUAUAGGUGGGGAGUUUUGAAGGUGGCCGGAUUAGGAGGUGAGGCUGGGAGUAAGGAUGUGGGGCCCAAAUUAAGAGUGUGAUGCUGGGGCUAAGAUGGUCUCAUACUGGGUGUGGGUGACAUCACUCAAAAGGCAGGCAGCCUGGGUGGAAUUCAAGGGGCAGAGAGAAGCUGCUGCUGCUUCACUGAGUUGCUGGCUUCUGCCUGCCCUGCCACUCCAUGGACUGUUUCUCCUUUGCAGUGUCCCUGUGCCAUGUGCCACCCUGCUUUGCAGCCAGCUGACUAUGGACUGAAACCUCCUCAAACUGUGAGCUAAAUAAACUUUUCCCCCUUGAACUUAGAGUGCUGGAUAUUUUAAUUGGUGGUUAGACAACACUAUCUAAUCACCUAUUAAGAUAAGAAAUUGAGGUCCAAGAAGUCAAAUGAUCACUUUUAGAACUUCCCUUACAUUUUGUGUUUGAUUAGGCACUUUUGUGAAUGAAUCCAAAGGAUGAUAAUUGCUCCAAGACAUAAAGGAAAUGAUAAAUAGCAAUAAUCCUUCAUCUCUGCACUUGCCAAUACCCCACAGAUAGCUACGAACAUCAUGUCUGCAGCUCAUUAUGCAGAAUGUUUAUCUUCUUAAUAAUCUCGUGCUGUUCUUUGGGAAGAGCUGGUUUCUCCAGCAACUUACUUAGCCUUCAGCAAUAAGAUUCAUUUUUAUAGUAUUUGCUCCACAGAACUUACCCCACAGUUGAAAUGCUACAUGUGGAGCUUGUGUUCUUUUGGUCAUAGAUGUCCAAAGUUAAAGGGGGGAAGAGUAGAGUUCAAAGCUUAAUACAGUGACUGGAUUUUAUUUGUCAAUGGCUUAAAGUUUUGUAAGCCUUUUUAUAUUGGGAACAGGAAACCUGCCGGGAUUAUUGCCUCUAUUUGGUGAGUGGACACAGCAAGACUUUCUUUAGUCUGACAAGUAAUCAGAAAUUUUGAUUUUUCAGCUUAUAAAAAUACCUUAAAAAAAGAAGUAUUUUUUUCAAAAUAUUUUGAACAAAAGGAAAAAUUUUAAAUUUUAAAUGGUUAUCUAUGUGCUUAUUUCUAUCUUGCACUGGUUCUCAACCAGGGUCAAACUUACCCUCCAGGGGACAUUUAACUAUGAUCAGAGGCAUUUUUGAUUGUCAUGACUGGUGUCAGUCAAAUAAACAAACAAGCAAACAACUCAAAACUACCACCACCACCACAACAAAACAGACAUGUAUGAUGGUGCGCUUUGUGAUCCCAACACUCUGGAUUACAAGGGUUAUAAUUUUGAGCCCAGCGUAGGCCAUUUAGUGGCUCAGGACCCUGUUUCAAACUGAAAAAUUUAGAAAAGGGCUGGGGAUGUAGCUUAGUAUGAAGGCCUUGGGUUCAGUCUCCUGUAUUGCCAAAAAAUAGUCAAACAAACAAACAUAGAGAUGAAUCUCUAUGCAAAACAAAGACAAAUGGAAAUAUCUAGGGCCACAGGUACAGGCUGAGGUUGUCUCUUGUAUGUUUGAGAACAAAGGAAAGAAAGAAAGAUGAGUUUGUUGGUUAGGAGAACACUACAUAGGGUGUUUCUAAAGCAAUCUAUUGGCACUUUUGGCAUCACUGAGAGCAAGUGAGCCUGGAUGGGGUGCUGCAGUUACUAUGUAAAAUGAGCCCAAAGCUUGAGCUGCCUCUUUCCUUGGAUUGAGUUUGAGAAUGGUUGGGUGAGUGUUCUUGCAGAACUGCCUCGCUUCCUUGUGUUGCUAGCUGUCUUUGGGAGCCAGUGUGGUAAGCUGCACUCUGAGAUUCAGAAAGUUUUCCCGCUGUACUUCCGUCAUCAGGCAAAUCACGCCUAAGACUCCCCCUUCUCGGUCUUCCCUGACUCCAUCUGCCAGACUUUGACAUAGCAGCUCCACUUUGAAUCUGAAAACUCACUGUGGUGGGAUGGGCUUCUUGCACCUGAUUCCUGACAGUGAUCGGGAAACACUGCUACAGACCCACAGGCACAAGAAAGUCAACCCUUUCCCUUAGCAAAGAGUCACAUGACUUAAAUGGUGGUAUUUCUGGAGCUAAGAAAUCUUGUAUAACUCUUUCCUCUUUCUUAGAAUUUUAGCAGUUUGGAUGGCUUACAGUGGCUGGACAUUCAUUUAUAUAACAUGGCCAUUUGCUAAUGUUCUUUACCCUUUUACAUAUUAGAGAGGCGGACAUUAGUCAAAUCUUGUGCCUCCUUCUGACUGCCCAAGACAUAACCCUGGGAGCUCGAAACAAUAAUGUACAUUAUGCAACUGCAAACCAUGUAUGUGAGACUUAAAAAGCAAAAGAAUAUUGCCAGCCUCUUACCCUUCUUUCACCCCCAGUAAAUGCAGCAGAUUCUUCCUGCACUACCACAAGCCUUGUAGUCAUGAAAAACGAACCAGAACGAGGAGGAAAUAGACUCCAUUCUCCUCCUUGUCUUAAGCCUGUAAAACUGUAUUGCAAUUGGGACAAAGUAUUCUGCCUUUAUGACCACUUUAGUUUACUACAGAAGACAAACGUUGAACAUCUUUAUCUGAUUUAGCCACUUGUCCACUGUCCAGGUUUGGCUGAUGACUGGAGCAUGUUUGCCCUUUCCCACAUGUUUGAGCAGAAGAGGAACAGAUGCAUUUGUCUCCUUGCUGCACUCUGAAGAGUUCGUUUGUAGUUAUGCUGGUGUGUGCCAUCUUCCUAGGUCUGCGCGUGUCACCAUGGAAUCACGCAGCUCUAUCACUUCUGUAAAAGUGUUCUUGCACACAGGCAUAGCUCCCUUGGUUGCUAGCUGUCUUUGGGAACUAGGGUAGUAAACCACGAACUCUUUUCUUCUUCACUUUCUCCCGUUUUUCUUUCUUUUCUCCUUCUCUCCCUUUUCCCUUCCCUUCCCUUUCCUUCCUUCCCUUCCUACUUCCUUCUUUGUUCUCAAGUCCAUCUAGAUCUCUGUAGCAUUUGGCAUAGCUGAUGUUGAGUACCCUUUCCUCAGUUUUCCUUCCACUUUUUCUCUGGCCCUUUAUUAUCAGUUCUUCCAUCCCUUUUGCCACAGGUCUUUCUUAACCAAAGUUCUAUUGUUAGACUUCAUCUGUGUUAGCCAGCUUCUCUGUGACAGAUAUCUCACUUUUCUGAUCGCUUACACCUUAUCCACUUCCUGAGGCGCUGAUCCCAUAUAGACAACUGACUGCCAGAAACUCACUUGGUUGUCAGUGUGAGCAACACAGAAAUCUUCCUUCCCGCAAGCCAGCUCCUCCUUUUGACUUUUCUGUAUCGCUAAAUAGCUGAGUUCUCCAGUUUCCCAGGUUCAAGAGCUUGGUAUCACCUCCAGCUCUUCUUCGUUUACUGUCUCCUCAGCCGAUAAAUCUUCAAACCAUGUGGAGCUGACUUCCACAUUUUUUGCGGGAGGUUUUAUUUUGUCCAUUCCGUCACCCAUUCCUGCCCAGCAUCUGAAGGACACUUUGCACCGCCCCUGCCUUCCUGUUCUAAUCUGUUUAUGUUUUUUAAUCAAAAUAUCUUUCCCCUGAUCAUUUCCUUCCUAAACUCAAAGCCAUCAGCUGUUCCUCUGGAAUGAGGGGCACAGCAUUUCGGACUCCUGACCCACACACAGGAAGCACAGCCCAACGCCUCCCACAGAUUUUACUCUUGGGGUCUGGCCUGGUGCAGACACAGACUACCACCUCUGCCGCUGAUGUUUAUGUUUUAUCAGCUCCAUCUGAGAUACCCCUCAUUCACCAAGCCCUUCUGCAUUUCUCCCCUUACAAGCUCCAGUGUCUCUCACUAUCUUUGUAAGGCACUGUGCCUGUUGGGUGUCUAUUCUUGCUGCUAGGUUUUGUAAUUUUUGUCACCUCCCUCUCUUAGAUUAUGCCAUAUCUUCCAGGUCUCAGCACCUCUGUUCCCUAGCACAGUGGUUUUGGGUGUGGGGUUAGGGGUCUGUCCUGAGAGCGCCCAUAGUUGGGCACAGCUCCUGUGAGGGAUGCAGUGCCAAGCCAGCCCUGGAAAAAGGGCAAGACCAGGGCAGAAGUGCAA